Molecule: ribosomal RNA, 186 nt
Filed under: Ulothrix zonata
Lineage: Eukaryota; Viridiplantae; Chlorophyta; Ulvophyceae; Ulotrichales; Ulotrichaceae
Source: RNAcentral
AAUCCAUCCACAUCCACUCGCGAAUUAUUUAGUACCCCCCCUGCAGCCUCUGGGAUGCUUGGGCGGCUGUCUCUCGGGUCAGUCGGGCCCCCCUGCAAAGGGGNGUUGGCAACCAUUUUACACACCCAACCAAACUGUCUGUCUGAAGAUGACUCGAUUCGGCACUGCUGAUCGUAUAACAAAGAC